RNAcentral lists this ribosomal RNA (464 nucleotides) under uncultured bacterium. RNAcentral's name for it is "partial 16S ribosomal RNA". It matches the Rfam family "Bacterial small subunit ribosomal RNA", at positions 338 to 795 of the family's 1533-position model. The record is from RNAcentral.
CCUACGGUAGGCAGCAGUAGGGAAUUUUCGUCAAUGGGCGCAAGCCUGAACGAGCAAUGCCGCGUGAACGAGGAAGGUCUUCGGAUCGUACAGUUCUGUUGACGGGGAAUAAGAGCGGAGAGAGGAAAUGGUCUCCGAUUGAUAUUACCCUUCGAGGAAGUCACGGCUAACUACGUGCCAGCAGCCGCGGUAAUACGUAGGUGGCGGACGUUAUCCGGAAUGAUUGGGCGUAAAGGGUGCGUAGGCGGCCUGCUAAGUCUGGAGUGAAAGGUACCGGCCCAACCGGUACAGUAACUGGAAACUGGCGGGCUAGAGAGUAGGAGAGGGCGGUGGAACUCAAGGUGUAGCGGUAAAAUGCGUAGAUAUAUGGAAGAACACCAGUGGCGAAGGCGGCCGCCUGGACUGUGACUGACGCUGAGGCACGAAAGCGUGGGGAGCAAAUAGGAUUAGAUACCCCUGUAGUC